This 482-nucleotide ribosomal RNA is filed under the name uncultured bacterium. Its description in RNAcentral is "partial 16S ribosomal RNA". It matches the Rfam family "Bacterial small subunit ribosomal RNA", at positions 30 to 507 of the family's 1533-position model. The record is from RNAcentral.
AUUGAACGCUGGCGGCAUGCCUUACACAUGCAAGUCGAACGGUAACGGGCCUUCGGGUGCCGACGAGUGGCGAACGGGUGAGUAAUACAUCGGAACGUGCCCGAUCGUGGGGGAUAACGAGGCGAAAGCUUUGCUAAUACCGCAUACGAUCUACGGAUGAAAGCAGGGGACCGCAAGGCCUUGCGCGGACGGAGCGGCCGAUGGCAGAUUAGGUAGUUGGUGGGAUAAAAGCUUACCAAGCCGACGAUCUGUAGCUGGUCUGAGAGGAUGAUCAGCCACACUGGGACUGAGACACGGCCCAGACUCCUACGGGAAGCAGCAGUGGGGAAUUUUGGACAAUGGGCGCAAGCCUGAUCCAGCCAUGCCGCGUGCAGGAUGAAGGCCUUCGGGUUGUAAACUGCUUUUGUACGGAACGAAAAGCCUUCUUUUAAUACAGGAGGGUCAUGACGGUACCGUAAGAAUAAGCACCGGCUAACUACGUG